Molecule: ribosomal RNA, 465 nt
Filed under: uncultured bacterium
Lineage: Bacteria
Description: partial 16S ribosomal RNA
Rfam family: Bacterial small subunit ribosomal RNA
Source: RNAcentral
GACGAACGCUGGCGGCGUGCUUAACACAUGCAAGUCGAACGGAAAGGCCCUGCUUGCCGGGUACUCGAGUGGCGAACGGGUGAGUAACACGUGGGUGAUCUGCCCUGCACUUCGGGAUAAGCCUGGGAAACUGGGUCUAAUACCGGAUAGGAGCCAUUUUUAGUGUGAUGGUUGGAAAGUUUUUUCGGUGUAGGAUGAGCUCGCGGCCUAUCAGCUUGUUGGUGGGGUAAUGGCCUACCAAGGCGGCGACGGGUAGCCGGCCUGAGAGGGUGGACGGCCACAUUGGGACUGAGAUACGGCCCAGACUCCUACGGGAGGCAGCAGUGGGGAAUAUUGCACAAUGGGCGCAAGCCUGAUGCAGCGACGCCGCGUAGGGGAUGACGGCCUUCGGGUUGUAAACUCCUUUCGCUAGGGACGAAGCUUUUUGUGACGGUACCUAGAUAAGAAGCACCGGCUAACUACGUG